GACGAAGGGGGCUAGCGUUGUUCGGAAUUACUGGGCGUAAAGGGCGCGUAGGCGGCGUGUCAAGUCAGGCGUGAAAGCCCCCGGGCUCAACCUGGGAACCGCGCUUGAGACUGGCAUGCUCGAGUUCGGGAGAGGAUGGUGGAAUUCCCAGUGUAGAGGUGAAAUUCGUAGAUAUUGGGAAGAACACCGAUGGCGAAGGCAGCCAUCUGGACCGACACUGACGCUGAGGCGCGAAAGCGUGGGGAGCAAACAGG
This 254-nucleotide ribosomal RNA is filed under the name uncultured bacterium. RNAcentral describes it as "partial 16S ribosomal RNA". It matches the Rfam family "Bacterial small subunit ribosomal RNA", at positions 524 to 776 of the family's 1533-position model. The record is from RNAcentral.